Long non-coding RNA from Photinus pyralis (common eastern firefly), 596 nucleotides. RefSeq lists it as uncharacterized. Lineage: Eukaryota; Metazoa; Arthropoda; Insecta; Coleoptera; Lampyridae. The transcript has 3 exons. The record is from RefSeq and is a predicted model, not a curated record.
UGAACGGCGCAGACAGGAAAAGAUACACCAAAUUUCAAAUACACAGGUAGAAUAAAAACUAAAGAGCACUGGAUCAACUCCCCAUAAGUUUGCCAACGGAAGCGCCGCCUAGCUGAGAAGCGGACUCAUGGAAAACUGUACCUAUCUCACAAAAGACGAUCUGCUUUGAAGAUGAUCGUAGAACAAAUGGCUACUAGAUAUUGAAGCCCUGGGGAGUUGAUUAUACACUAUUAAAGUAUUGUUUAAAGCUAUCAAUGACAGCAACCGGAAUACGAGUGGUACUUUUCUUGCUUUACCAAGUUGAAUCAUACCAGAAGUACACCGUCGUAUCCUGUAUAAUGGAACAUUGAAAUGGCUCAAUGUCCAUCAAAAUAUCCAUUUUUGUAUUACUUUUUCGGUAGAUAGGCAAGUUGGAUUUUAGAGUGUAUUUUGAAUGGAAUAUUUUAAUUCGCACCCAGAUAUCCAGUGUAGUGCAGAUAUCCAGGGAUCCUGAACCGCUACCCACAAUUUUCCCGACAGGAGAUUCGCGGAAGUGAUAUGCGAGACGUUGAAAAUUUCCAUCCGCUUGGAGGUCAGCGACUUGCUUCAUUAAUUAA